GAGGCGGGGCUUGUGGAAACGGCCGCCGCAGGGUUGGCGGCCUUGGGAAGGAGCAAAGAUGGCGGAGUGACGGGGUUUGUGGCGUUCCGGCCUGUGGGCCGGGGUGGGCCGGACCUGAGGCAGUCGAGUGCCUCUGCUGGCUCGUGCGAGGUAUUUCUCUGUUGUUUCAUGGAGUGGGUCCUUCGUUUAUCCAGCCACUUUGCCUAAUCUUGAAGUGUGGAUAUCCCUUCUCUAUACUUUACCUCCAUGAUUUGGAUUGGAAAAGACUGCUUUUCUUUAUUCUUCCGCCUCUCAGUUCAACACAGAGAACUGCUAGGAUGCAGUCAUUAUGCCGACUUCUCCAGGAAGAAAGAAGCAACUGACAUGUGUCUUCUGCUGCAGUUUGCUUACUUGUAAAGAAAUUAUUUUGCAAGCUCAAGGCUGAUUUGAAAUAGGUGCUUAGAUGGUAGUAUUUGUGAAUUCUUUACCUUUUGUUCCCAACAAGAAGACUGUGUAAAUAGCAACUAUGGAUGACAUCAGGGUUUCUUUAAUGUCUUCCAGUUUCAGCCACUAUCAUGAUAAGCACAGUUGAGACUGCAGUAGCGAAUUCCAAGUAUGUACUGAAAUUUGAUAUGAAAGAAAUGCUAAAAAAUUGCAUUUUUUCCUCUAAAUCCUGGUUCAUCCUGUGACAUCGAUUAACUGGAUAAGAACAAAGGUCCAACUUUGCAAUAAAACAUUUGGUGUGAUAAAGAAGCAUAAGGAAGAAAAAAUAUCAAGGUUAAUUUCAUAUGUGAAUAAACCAUGAGUCUCUAUAAAUAUUUUUACAUACGUAAGUCCAAAUUUUUGGUAAGAAGAGGGAUUUUUCUCCUAGAGAAGGAACUGUUGUUCUUAGAAGACUUUGGACAUUUGGUAUUUUAAAACGUUUUUGUCGUUGUUGUUCUUCUAAGGAAGAACCUGCAUUAUGCAGAAAAAUGCUAACCCGUGAAUGCAUUUUGGGGUUUAGUGAAAGGUUAGUAAAAGGAAACAAAAGUUUUGAGUCUAGCGAUGGAACCGUAUUCACCUCUCAUUCUUUUUUGUGGAGUUUUAUAUAGCACUUGAGACUUGGUUUUCCAUGCUGCUAAGGCUGGAAGAAAAGUGGCAUAAGUGGUUUUUCUGUUCAGAAGAUGUGAUGGACCCUACAGUAUAUCUUUCCUUCAACACUGGACCUGGAGGAAUGGGGAAGAAAGGAGAAGUUUCAAUACAAUUCCCUUCUAAGAAAAAUAAGUGAAAAUGCCUUAUGCAGCUCCACCUCAUUUUAUGGUGUUUUACAUUCUGUAGCUCUCUUUUUUUGUGAAAGCAUAAAUAACUUUUUUCUUUUGACCUAAAAUCUAUACUUGGAUAUAUUUUUCUAGACUGUAGCUGUAAUAUUAAGCUGAAAAGGCUGGGACUCAGGUAACUUUCCCCAGUUGGAACUGAACUUUCUCAUCACAGAAUGGGCCUAAGAAGCAAUGUUCUCAAACUUGUGGUUGGGUCAGUGUAGAUUUAGAAGAAAUUUAGGUUGUGAAAAAAAACCUCAAACAAGAAAAAUAGUUCCAAUAAAAAAUAUGGAUCUUACUUUCUCUUGAAACUAAUACUAUAUGAUGAACAGACUAUAUAGUGUAAAGCUGUUCUUGCUUAAAAAUCAACAGAGGAUCAGUGUAUAAAUUGUUCAGGUGUUACAUAAGAAAAAUGAAAACUUUGAGUCUUUGAGUAGAGAAUUUAAAACUUCUUAGGUGAAUUUAAGAACAAAUCACCCUAGAUCAUCUCUGUAAUUGGGGAAUGUUUGCCCAAUGCCAUACAUGCUGUGAUCCUGAAAACUUAGGCCAGAUGUACCAAGAUUUGAGAAUAAUAGAAAUGGCCAAAAAUGAGAAAUGUUGAACACAUUCCACGAUUAGUUUAAUUGGUCAGCCAAUUUGAAUUGGCAUAAAAAGGGUUUUAGUAAAAUAAUUAUAUAAGUAAAAUAUUUCUUUCAAUGGAGGGCAGUUACUGAAUGGUAAAACAUAGCAGAAAACUGGGUAAAGGUAACUUAAGUAACUUCCUAGCCACUUCCUCAUGUUUUAGUAUUUUGGAAUUGUUAAAGAUAAAAUGGAACUUACAUACAUGGGUUCCAUUGGUACAUUGAGAUUAUUAUGGAGAAUUUGUACCUUCAAUUAUCUGUUACUCAUCUUCCCUGUGUCCUUUUGGCAACUUUUUGGGUAGGAUCAUUUGGCAGGAAAUAGAGACCUUGUACUAUCAGCACCAGUGAAACCAUCUCUGGCCCACUUGUUUGAAUCUAUUAUCACACUCAGCUUCUCCAGUUGCUUUAUAUUUUUUCAUUCACAGCUAAGAGAACCACCAUUUAAUGCUUGCUCCUGUUUUUGCAUCUUGUCAUCAGAUGGCAUUUAACAAAAUGUAUAUUCCAGUUGUACUUGCACAGCAUUUAUGUAAAUACAUCUUUGUUUUUUUCUUGGUCUAUUUUGGUCCACUUCUUAAUGGCAAAAGCUAUAAUUUUAGGCAGGACUGUGCCUCGAUCUAUAGCCGUGUUUACUUCCUUUUGCUCAUCUACGUUAGCUGGAAGUUUAUCUUUUAAAAAGUUAAAAAUGGGAUAUGUGCAAUAGAACUAUAUAUAUAUAUGUAUAUUUUAAUACUUGUGGACAAAUGUUACAAGUUGUUGAAGAACAACAAAAUCACCAAUGUCUUCCAUUUUGAGAUGUGUAUAGUUUUGUAAGCAUUAGUGCUUGGUAGCAUAUUUGUAGUGCCAUAUUAGGGGUUAGUGCAUGAGCCUAGUAAUUAUUUAAACUUCAGGAUGAAUUGUUAUAAUAACCAAUAGUGUAAAAAGAGUGGAAAAUCUAUACCUUUUCUCUUUUCAUAAGUUUCUGUAGCCAUGAUAUUCUCCCUGGGGAAAGGAGAUUAGCCCAGAAAGACUCAUUUAUGAAUAGAAAUGUGGGGUUACAAUAUGAAAUACUGUGUUUGAGGAUGUUCAAGCUUUUUGUCUUUUGAAACCUCAAAUCAAAAUAAGGCCCCAUUUCCUGAUUCCGCUUUGCUCUCAGUUUGAGGUUAGAUAGUUCUUAUGCUGUUUACACAUUGUAUGUCUUAUAGGUUUAUUAUUUGUCCUACUCCUUUUGCAUCAAGAAAGUAUAUUUUGCAUUUUUUAGUAAUAUGCUAUGUUAAUUGCUUAACUGAGUGCUUUUCUAAUCUGCACACCAUUUACAUUUCCUGUCUGCAGCAUGCUACGUGUUAAUGGAAGAACACUGGUCAGUAGUCUUAGGUUAAUUUGUGCAGGUUUUUCCUCUUUCUAAAUCUGAAUUGUGUAUCGAUAGGAUUCCAGGCCUUUUCAUGAGAAUUUGAAAAGUAGCCAAUGGAGCCUACCCAGGUUGCCAUGUAAUAAAUAACUUUUGCUUGGUUACAGUAAGCCACCUUAAACAGCUUUCACUUUUUUCUUUCCUUGUAGACAUAAAAGGUUUUUAUUCUGAAGGUAUAAGAUAGCUUUCUGUAGAAAAGAAAUUCCUCCUUCUAAAAGCUGCCUUGCAAACUUGGAAAUGGCAGCUUUCUGAGGUGAUUAUUUAAAAAUUGGUAUUAGGAGAGUUCAGGAUUUAUUGACACAGAUUGUGCAGUUAGCAUAAUAGGAAAUUCAAAACUAUUUUAAUGUGGUGAGUCUCAUGUGUAGAAGCAAGCUUAGAUAAGUAGAUUCUUUGGCAGCAGAUCUCCAGGGACCCAGGUUCAGAUUCUCAUAGUGUAUUUUCAAUAGUUGUACUCUUGGCUCAAGUAGUUUAGUGCCUGUGAGAAUCCAUUUCUGAAAAGCAUUUAAAUAUUUUUUUAAAUACCUCUGAAUAGGUAAUGAAUGCAAAAUAGCACAGUAUAUAGGAAAGGAUAUUUCCUAUUGCAAAAAAAAAAAAGCCAUAAAAUGAAUAAUUUUCAAGAGGUAGCAAUAAGUUUUGCAUGUAUAAUAGGCUGCAUUAACAAGGUUGUACAGUAGAAUAAGUAUUACUACUUGAGCUUGUGAGGCUCUGUGAUUAACAGUUGCACAAAAAAAAAUGUUCUAGAUAAAGAGCAUAUAAAAAGGUACUUUUAAAACUAUGAAUGUAUAUGACUAUAUCAGUGUAUGAGAAAUAGCAACCUUUGCGUAAGUUCAAGACCCUAUUUGUUUCCUAGAGCAGAGGGUUAGAGCCAUUGAAUGAAACUUUUCUAGUGCUUAACCUGGAAACAAAUGUACUCCUAAUGUAGCCCCACUGAAGCUGUCAUGUGGGGAUUUUGCUUAUGAUGUUCCUUUUAACAUCAGGCUAAUAGCAUACUUUUUGCUUUGUCACCUACCCUUUCUCCAUUCAUUUCUGGGUGCAUUUUUAAAAAGGAAAAGUUUGUUGUUUGUGUAUUUAGGGUUAAAAAAAACACCAAUAACUUGGAUUGCUGGCUUUUCCUUAUGCCUAUGGUUAGUUUAGGGGAGUUAGAAUUUAAAGGUAUAAAACAAAAGGAUUGAAGGGAAUAACCAAAGAUAAUAUGUUGGGUUUUUUUUUUUAACCUUGUCUAAAGUAGAUUUGCUAGUAUAGGCCUAUGAUCUGUGACUGCUUAUUUUAAGAAGAACCUAGCAAACUAGUUUCUUGAUCUGAGGAAUCGUACAGCUCACAUCAGGGUACAAUAGUGGAAUAAGGGUGACUUCUUAUUCCCUUUUACUUCAUGUCAACUUGUCCAUUUAGCAUCUUGAAAAUCCCAGAAAAGAUUCGGUCUGUGUUCCCUGUUUUCCAACGGUGGGGGUAGGGGGACUAAAAAUGAAGUAGAUCUAAGAAAAUAGUCUCUUGAAUAUUUAAUUCUUAUAUGGCAACUCCAAACGAGAGGGAGAAGGCUAUAUUAAAUUGAUUAUAGCUCCUCUUUAUAUAUCCUACACGUACGUCAGUGGUAUUAGAGACAUUGGAAUAACCAGGAAUAUUCAGGCAUUUGCAUGAUCAUGAGGACACCACUGCAUAUUACUGUGAUGUCAACAGUUUAAUUAGAACAAUUAAAGAUGACCCUUGAUGGCCAUGUUAAUAGUUCUAAAUGCUGAAAUGCACUACAAGUUUUGGUAGUCUCAAAGUAUGCAGUUACUUUUCAAUGUUGUGGUCUCAUGUUUACUUUUUGUAUACCCGUGAUAUGCAAAAUAUGAAGAGACCCUUGGCCUCCAGGAGUUUACAUUCUCAUGGUGCUGCUGGUGCAAGCAAAUUACUUGUUUAUUCAGAACAUUGCUUGGCUAUUAAUUAUACCAUAUUUGGAAGGAUCCCUUGGCCAACAGUUUUCAAAAGCAGAGGGCUAUGCUAAAUUUCAGGGCAUUUUUGAGUUUACAUUGUAUUAGCUCUGCUGUUCGUAAACUCCUUUUCCCCAGGGAGUUGUGCAGGUAAUGCUCAUUAAUGUGAACCAGAAAAACUGUUCUGCUCAAGAGCAUCUUCACCAUCCCUACACCACCUAUGCUUCUCUACGAUACAGCACUCAAUAAAUGGCCAAGAAAACUUACCGCUCAAGAAGACUGUGCAUCUCCUGAUUCUUUUCCCAGAGUUUUUACAUCAUUCUCUACCCAAAAGGACCAGGAUUUGCAGUUAAGCCUUUUACAACUGAACAGUGGUCCUAAUUUUAACCCUUUUUGUGUUUUGUACCUCUAUUCUGAAGUAGUGUGAUAGAUGUAGACUACCAGCCUGCAUUUCUAAGCAAUCACUUUAUUAACCCACAUUUUUGGUUGGAGUUGCAUGUAUCCUUGUUAUUUCUUGUAAUCUGAAUCAAGGAGUUUACUUUGCAUGUUUAUUAAAAUUGGGUCUGAUGAAAGUGCAAGCAAUAGUGGCAAGCCCAUGACUUUGAUUUUAGAGUACUAAUAUUCUAAUGCAUGACUGAAAAUGUCCAGUGUUACGUGGUUACUAGUAAUUAUAUAUGUGCAUUUACUAAUAAUGAAGCAAUAGAGAUUUAAAUAGCUUGACUUUAUUGUUUGGAUUAUUUUUCAUUUUCUAAUUAAAAGUUAUCUUACUUCCAUUGAAAAUGGGAGCUAGAAGAUAAACAGGGGGAACCACAACACAUUCAAACUGUCAGUAAUAGAGCAUAACAGUGCUUACCCUCUAACCUCUUGCCUGGUUCCAUUAGUCCCCAAGCAUGUUUUAAAACAAUACAAAAGGCACAAACUAAGCAUGUUGAAUAAAUAAGCUGCUAUGUCUAUAAUAAUCAGAAAGGUGUGCAGAGUUUCAGAAAGGGUAGGAAAGUAGGGAAUACCGGUGUGGAGUUUGUGAAAUAAUUAGGUAUGGAGUUUGUCUCAAAGUGUAUGUAGCUUAAGUUUGCAUCUCUUUAAACUAGUGUCUUGGAAAUGAAUAGAGGCAAUAUGCAUGUAUUUCAUACAUUCCAGGAUUUUCAGAUAACUAGGCAACUUUUGUAUAGUACUGGUAUUGACCAGCCAUAAAAGAUCUCCACAGCAAAGGAGACCAUUCCAUUUUGUGGAAAUAGUUCUGAAAAUAAUGACAUCUGUGGUUUGGUUUGUCUUUUGUCACUGUAUUAAGAAUUUUUUUGUUAUUUUUAAUAGUUUUAUUCUUGAUAUUUUGGUCAGAGUGCAUAGUUUGUUGCCUAAAGAUUUUGAUACUAGGUAAACAGGAGCAAGUUUUCACAUUUUGGAAAAAAAGGAAACCUUGCCAUUUACUUGUUUGAUGAAGAAAAUAUUGUAGCUUAAAAUUUUGAGAAGAUUUCUGACUUUGGAAUAACUCACAACUACAAGUGAUUAUGACAAAUAGUGUACAAAUGGAAUUCAUUAUAUCUGAAAGAGGCCUAAAUAUAAAUCAGGAUUAGACUAGAUGUUUUUUACUAGACUCCUUCCAGGUUGAAAAAUAAUUUUUCCAAAUUAUUUUAACCUCAUUUCCUUUGCUGUGGGAGUUCACUCUGGAUACCUUUGGGAAUAUUUAAGUGUAAUGGUAACUUUCCAGUAGUUAAGAACUGAAUUAGACUUGUAGCCAUUGCAGGGUUUGGUCUCCACUCAAAUACAGGAAGUGAGAUGUCAUCCCAUAGGUAAAUUUUCUCUUUGCCAUUCAUUGAAAACGUCUGCCAACCAACGAAUCCAAUAAAGAUUUCUCAUUUUUCUCCUGUGGCAUUUUAAAAGUUAUACCAAAUACUAUAGAUUUCUCCAGGAACCCAUACUCCUAAAUCACCUAAGUCAGAAUAGAUAUCUUAAGGUUACUAACAAUUUUCAAAAGAUUUUGUCUCCCAUGGUGAUGGUAUGCUAUGCCAUCGAUAAAAAUACAUUUUUCUCCGAGAGAUAAAAAAGGUAUUCUUGUAAUAUAUUGUCAUCAGUCCUUAAAAAUAAUUGUCUUGGCGCUUCCCUAAAAUCACUCAUCCUUUGUAAGUAAAAAAUAUUCAUAUUAGAGUACCCUUCACAUAGAUUUUUAUGUACUGUGCUGUUAAAUACAGUUGUUGCUCACUGAUUUUACUUGCUUUUUGCAUCUUCAUUGCACCUUUGGUAUAUGUGAUGUUAAAAAUUUUCAUUGAAUGUUUAAAGUCUUAGGAAAGGCAGUUUGCUUUUUAAUCUAUGCAUCUUUGGGAUUUUAGAAGAGUUUUUUUAUUCUUUGAUGUAAAAAGGAACUGCUUUAAGAGUUGGAAACUCUGCACGCAUGUGUGUGUGUAUAUAUAUAUUUUUUUGGCAAUAAAGCAGCAUGGGCUGAGAAUGCA
This is a long non-coding RNA of Pteropus alecto (black flying fox), 7632 nucleotides long. RefSeq lists it as uncharacterized. NCBI's taxonomy places the organism in Eukaryota, Metazoa, Chordata, Mammalia, Chiroptera, Pteropodidae. The transcript has 2 exons. The record is from RefSeq and is a predicted model, not a curated record.